GACGAACGCUGGCGGCGUGCUUAACACAUGCAAGUCGAACGGAAAGGCCCUGCUUUUGUGGGGUGCUCGAGUGGCGAACGGGUGAGUAACACGUGAGUAACCUGCCCUUGACUUUGGGAUAACUUCAGGAAACUGGGGCUAAUACCGGAUAGGAGCUCCUGCUGCAUGGUGGGGGUUGGAAAGUUUCGGCGGUUGGGGAUGGACUCGCGGCUUAUCAGCUUGUUGGUGGGGUAGUGACUUACCAAGGCUUUGACGGGUAGCCGGCCUGAGAGGGUGACCGGCCACAUUGGGACUGAGAUACGGACCAGACUCCUACGGGAGGCAGCAGUGGAGAAUAUUGCAAAAUGGGCGGAAGCCUGAUGCAGCAACGCCGCGUGCGGGAUGACGGCCUUCGGGUUGUAAACCGCUUUCGCCUGUGACGAAGCGUGAGUGACGGUAAUGGGUAAAGAAGCACCGGCUAACUACGUG
Molecule: ribosomal RNA, 468 nt
Filed under: uncultured bacterium
Lineage: Bacteria
Description: partial 16S ribosomal RNA
Rfam family: Bacterial small subunit ribosomal RNA
Source: RNAcentral